Molecule: long non-coding RNA, 328 nt
Filed under: Homo sapiens (human)
Lineage: Eukaryota; Metazoa; Chordata; Mammalia; Primates; Hominidae
Description: non-protein coding lnc-TYW1-11:1
Source: RNAcentral
AUGACCCACCAAACUCAUGCCUAUCAGAUGGGCCAAGCCUAGCCCCUGACCACUGAUGGGAGCCCUUUCAGCACUACUAGUAGCAUCCAGCCUAGCCAUAUGAUUUCAUUCUAACUCUGCUACCCUCCUGACUCCGCUACCCCUCCCUUCCCUUCCCUUCCCUACUAACCAAUACAUUAAUAACAUAUCAAUUGAUGAUGUGAUAUUAUCUGAGAAGGCACAUUCCAAGGCCACCAUACAUCAAUCAUCCAAAAAGUUCUUCCAUAUGGAAUGAUCUUAUUCAUUGUUUCAGAGGUGCUCUUCUUCACUGGUUUCUUCUGAGCGUUCU